RNAcentral lists this ribosomal RNA (745 nucleotides) under Erysiphe huayinensis. RNAcentral's name for it is "partial 28S ribosomal RNA". It matches the Rfam family "Eukaryotic large subunit ribosomal RNA", at positions 1 to 758 of the family's 3401-position model. The record is from RNAcentral. Lineage: Eukaryota; Fungi; Ascomycota; Leotiomycetes; Helotiales; Erysiphaceae.
UUGACCUCGAAUCAGGUAGGAAUACCCGCUGAACUUAAGCAUAUCAAUAAGCGGAGGANNNNNNNNNNNNNNNNNNNNNNNNNGUAACGGCGAGUGAAGCGGUAACAGCUCAAAUUUGAAAUCUGGCUCCUUCGGAGUCCGAGUUGUAAUUUGUAGAAGAUGCUUUGGGUGAUGGGUGCGGCCUAAGUUCCUUGGAACAGGACGUCAUAGAGGGUGAGAAUCCCGUAUGUGGCCGCGGCCCAGGCCCGUGUAAAGCUCUUUCGACGAGUCGAGUUGUUUGGGAAUGCAGCUCAAAAUGGGUGGUAAAUUUCAUCUAAAGCUAAAUAUGGGCCAGAGACCGAUAGCGCACAAGUAGAGUGAUCGAAAGAUGAAAAGCACUUUGGAAAGAGAGUUAAACAGUACGUGAAAUUGUUGAAAGGGAAGCGCUUGCAACCAGACUUGGGCGCUGCCGAUCACCUCGAGUUCUCUCGAGUGCACUCGACAGCGCACAGGCCAGCAUCGGUUCGGGUGGCUGGAUAAAGGCCGUAGGAACGUAGCUGCCUUCGGGGAGUGUUAUAGCCUACGGUGCCAUGCAGCCCAGCCGGACCGAGGACCGCGCCUUCGGGCUAGGAUGCUGGCGUAAUGGUUGUAAGCGACCCGUCUUGAAACACGGACCAAGGAGUCUAACAUCUAUGCGAGUGUUUGGGCGUUAAACCCAUACGCGGAAUGAAAGUGAACGUAGGUGAGAACCCCCGGUGGGGCGCAU